GACGAACGCUGGCGGCGUGCCUAAUACGUGCAAGUAGAACGCUGAAGGAGGAGCUUGCUUCUCUGGAUGAGUUGCGAACGGGUGAGUAACGCGUAGGUAACCUGCCUGGUAGCGGGGGAUAACUAUUGGAAACGAUAGCUAAUACCGCAUAAUAUUGACUAUUGCAUGAUAGUCAGUUGAAAGGUGCAACUGCACCACUACCAGAUGGACCUGCGUUGUAUUAGCUAGUUGGUGGGGUAACGGCUCACCAAGGCGACGAUACAUAGCCGACCUGAGAGGGUGAUCGGCCACACUGGGACUGAGACACGGCCCAGACUCCUACGGGAGGCAGCAGUAGGGAAUCUUCGGCAAUGGACGGAAGUCUGACCGAGCAACGCCGCGUGAGUGAAGAAGGGUUUCGGAUCGUAAAGCUCUGUUGUAAGAGAAGAACGAGUGUGAGAGUGGAAAGCUCACACUGUGACGGUAUCUUACCAGAAAGGGACGGCUAACUACGUG
This 495-nucleotide ribosomal RNA is filed under the name uncultured bacterium. RNAcentral describes it as "partial 16S ribosomal RNA". It matches the Rfam family "Bacterial small subunit ribosomal RNA", at positions 28 to 507 of the family's 1533-position model. The record is from RNAcentral.